Molecule: ribosomal RNA, 506 nt
Filed under: uncultured bacterium
Lineage: Bacteria
Description: partial 16S ribosomal RNA
Rfam family: Bacterial small subunit ribosomal RNA
Source: RNAcentral
AUUAAACGCUGGCGGCAGGCCUAACACUUGCAAGUCGAGCGGUAACAAAGAGAAGCUUGCUUCUCUGCUGACGAGCGGCGGACGGGUGAGUAAUGCCUAGGAAUCUGCCUAGUAGUGGGGGAUAACUUGCCGAAAGGUAAGCUAAUACCGCAUACGUCCUACGGGAGAAAGGAGGGGACCUUCGGGCCUUUCGCUAUUAGAUGAGCCUAGGUCGGAUUAGUUAGUUGGUGAGGUAAUGGCUCACCAAGACCGCGAUCCGUAACUGGUCUGAGAGGAUGAUCAGUCACACUGGAACUGAGACACGGUCCAGACUCCUACGGGAGGCAGCAGUGGGGAAUAUUGGACAAUGGGGGGAACCCUGAUCCAGCCAUGCCGCGUGUGUGAAGAAGGUCUUAGGAUUGUAAAGCACUUUAAGUUGGGAGGAAGAGCAGUUAACUAAUAUUUGACUGUUUUGACGUUACCGACAGAAUAAGCACCGGCUAACUUCGUGCCAGCCGCCGCAGUAA